Molecule: ribosomal RNA, 111 nt
Filed under: uncultured Nitrospira sp.
Lineage: Bacteria; Pseudomonadati; Nitrospirota; Nitrospiria; Nitrospirales; Nitrospiraceae
Description: partial 16S rRNA
Rfam family: Bacterial small subunit ribosomal RNA
Source: RNAcentral
GGUCAUGCCGAGCACUCUGAAAGGACUGCCCAGGAGAACGGGGAGGAAGGUGGGGAUGACGUCAAGUCAGCAUGGCCUUUAUGCCUGGGGCCACACACGUGCUACAAUGGC